RNAcentral lists this non-coding RNA (45 nucleotides) under Schistosoma haematobium. The record is from RNAcentral. Lineage: Eukaryota; Metazoa; Platyhelminthes; Trematoda; Strigeidida; Schistosomatidae. RNAcentral also lists the same sequence under 1 other name.
AUCCAGUUGACUAGUCUCAAAUAGGACGAAACGCACGUCUUGGAU